GGUCAUAAAGUGUUUCCAAUUUUUUACGAUGUUGAUCCAUCUGAUUUAAGAAAACGAAAAGAGAAAGUGGAAGAAGUCUUUGCUAGACAUAAAGAUAGUGAGAAGAUCCAAAGGUGGCGAAAUGCUUUAAUUCAAGUGGCUGGAAUCAAGGGAUGGUAUUUAAAUAACAGGUAACUCUUUCUUUUCUUCUCUCUAUUUUCUAUUUUUUGGGAUAUAUAUGUAUAACUUUGUUUUUUUCUUUCUAAUCCUAUGUGUUUAAUUGAAAAAUGUCUUGGUUCUUGUUUGCUUCCAAACUAUAUUAUGUUUCAUGAUUCAUUGAAAAAGAAAGUGCAUUUGAUAAUAUGAAAAAAAAAAAUUAUUCAAAAGAUUAAAAUUUAUUUUCUUGUAGGCAUGAAUCAGAAUUUAUUAGAGAGAUUAUUAAGAAGAUAUCAGCAAAACUAUGUCACCCAGUUACUCAUAGUGACUUGGUUGGAAUGACUGAACGCUUGGAGGAUUUAUAUUUGAAAAUAAACAUUGGGGAAAAUGAUGUCCGCAUUAUAGGGAUUUGCGGAAUGGGUGGUAUCGGUAAAACAACACUCGCAAGACUUGCUUAUAAUCAAAUGUCACGUCAUUUUGAAAGUAAAAGCUUUAUUGCUGAUAUUCGAGAAGUUUCAGACAGAUGUGGAUUAGUUUCUUUACAGAAACAACUUCUUUCUGAGAUUUUUCAUGAUGAAUGCUUCAAAUUUUUCAAUGUUCAUGAAGGGAACGAUAUAAUUAGUCAUAUGUUGUCUCGCAAAAAGGUUCUUGUUGUUCUUGAUGAUGUUGAUAACAUACAACACUUAAAAUGCUUGGUUGGAAGGCACGAUUGGUUCGGAUUAGGGAGUAGAAUCAUUGUAACAACAAGAGAAGAACAUUUGCUUCGAUCUUGGCCAGUUAAUGAUAUGUAUGAGCCCACAACAUUGAAUCCCAAAGAUGCGCUUCAGCUUUUCAGUCUGAAAGCUUUUCAUAGUGAUACAGUGCCGAAAGAUGAUUUCAUUGAGCUUUCUUACCAUGUUGUAAAAUAUGCUGGUGGGCUGCCGUUAGCUCUUGAAAUUUUGGGUUGCUUUUUAUGCGGUAGAGAUGCUACUCAAUGGAGAAGUGCAAUUGAAAGACUUAAAAGAGAUUCUAACAAAGAAAUUCUUGAUAAACUUCGAAUCAGUUUUGAUGGAUUGGAAGAAAGGGAGAAGAAUAUAUUUCUAGAUAUAGCAUGCUUCUUCAAUGGGGAGGAGAAAGAUUGUGUAAAGAAAGUAUUGGAUGGUUGUGAGUUNNNNNNNNNNNNNNNNNNNNNNNNNNNNNNNNNNNNNNNNNNNNNNNNNNNNNNNNNNNNNNNNNNNNNNNNNNNNNNNNNNNNNNNNNNNNNNNNNNNNUGUUCUCAUUAAAAAAUCUCUCAUAAAAGUCGAUGAACACAAAUAUUUGUGGAUGCAUAACUUGUUGCAAGAAAUGGGAAGAAAAAUUGUUAGAGAAAAAUGUGUUGAUAAACCUGGAAAACGUUGCAGAUUAUGGGAGGAAAGAGACGUCUAUCAUGUCCUAACAAAAAACACUGUAAGUCAUUUAACAAAAGUUACAUACUAUUUCUAUUUUGUUAUAUAAUAUCAAAUCAAUAUAUGAUAUAAACCCAAAGCUUAGUCUAAUUGGUUGAUACAACUAUUCUUAAAAAGUGAUCUUUAGUAAUUUUGAGAUUACAAAUAUUAAAAAGGAUUUGUAGAAAUAAAUAUUUAAUUUCAUUGCAUUACCCUCUUUAGAGCAUAAUAUUUGUAGAAAUUGUUUUAUUUAAAUUUAAAAUGCUUUAUUUAUUAUAAUUAGAAUAUAAUAAUGCUAAAAAAAAGUAAGUUUUUAAAAGUUUUAUCCUACAUUAUACACCAUUUAAUUUAAUUUAUUUUCUAUUUUUGAUUUUUCUUAGGGUACAAAAAUAAUUGAAGGUAUAAUCAUCGAUAAUAAAAGGUAAGAAAACAUAAACUUAUAUUUACGUGUAAUAUGAUAAAAAAAUAUAGCAAAACCUUUGACACCCAAUAUUUCAAUGUUUAAUUAAAAAAUUUAUCUACUAGCGUAUUACUCUUCCAAAAGAUUCAAUAGAGAAAUGUAUGUCUUUUUGAAAUAUUAAUAGUAUAUCAAUGAAAUAGACUAUAACAUAACUUUUAGAUAUUGAAUGUUUUAGUAUAUUUUGAAGCUCAUUUUUGCUUUGCUCACUUAUAUUAGGGAAUCGGGCAAGAUGCUCAACUUGAGUGUCGAUGCCUUCUCAAAAAUGAAAAAAUUGAGAUUGCUCAAAGUGCUUUGCCUAUUAAAUUGUGAUGAUCUCAAAUUUCUUUCUAAUGAGCUACGGCUUUUAGAUUGGAAAGGAUGCCCUUUAAGAUCGUUACCUUCAAGCUUUCAACCGGACAACCUUGUUGCACUUCUUUUAUCAUAUAGUCGCAUUCAACAACUAUGGAAGGGAAACAGAGUAAGAAUUAACUCAUGUCAUCCUUGAAUUUUAGCUUAUUUUAAUAUAAAUGAUUAAACUUUGAUUAAGAUAAAAAAAACAAAAAUAAGCAUUAUUAUGUUUUCUCAUUUGUUUCUAAUUUAUUGUGAUCUUCAACAGCCCUUGUGUAAGCUGAAAAUGAUGAACCUUGAAGGGUCCCAAAACCUGAUCAAGACACCAGAUUUCACAACGGCAUCAAAUCUUGAAGUUCUAAUAUUGAAAGGUUGUACCAAAUUAGUGGAUAUUCAUCCAUCAAUCGCAGUACUUAAGAGCCUUCAAGUUUUGAAUUUAAGAGAUUGCAAAAGUCUUAGUAGUCUUCCGACCAUAACUGGAAUGGAAUCUCUUGAAACAUUAAUUCUUUCGGGUUGCUCAAGUCUUGUAAGGUUUCCGGAGAUUGAUGGGAAAAUGGAACGUCUAAAAACUCUAGAUCUUUCCGGUUGUUAUAGAGUUGAAAAUUUAUCAGAGAAUUUGCAGCAUGCAAAGUUUUUGGAAGAGCUCGACUUGAGAGAAACAGCCAUAACAGAACUACCAUCCUUCAUUUUUCAAUUUAAAAAUCUUAAAGUUCUGUCUUUCAAUGGAUUCAAAAGAGGAAGAAAAAAUUCCAUGGCUCCGAUGUUACCUUCAUUGUCAGGUUUGAGUUCAUUAAGAGAGUUGAAUCUAAGGGACUGCAAUCUUUGUGAAGGAGAUAUUCCACGUGAUAUUUCUGGUCUAUCCUCUUUGGAAGAACUUAAUCUUAGUGGUAACAAUUUCACCAGCAUACCUGCAUCUCUUACUCGACUCUCCAAGCUUGAAGAGCUUAUAUUGUCAAAUUGCAACAUGUGCACUCUUGGUGAAGUAGAUAUUCAUGGUCUAUCCUCUUUGGAACGGCUUUUUCUUAACGGUAACAAUUUCAUCACCGUUCCUUUGGCUCUGGCUCAACUUUCCAAGCUUAAAUUGCUUGGAUUAUCAAAUUGCAUGAAGCUUAACUCGUUGCCUGAGCUACCAACAAGUAUAGAAGAAGUGUGGCUAGAUGGUUGUUCUUCACUUGAAGUAGUUGCAAGUCCAUCAAAAGUAUGCAAGUUAGUGGAUUCGGCUGCUAUUAUAGCCUUUAACUGCUUCAAAUUGGCUGAGAAUAUCAACGCAUUAACACUGCUGAGAAAACAUCUUAAGGUCGAUUAAUCUCUCUUUUUCUCCCUUACAAAAUCUCAUACUUGAGAAUUUAUGGUUUUAGUUAUCAAACGACUUAUGUUUUAUUUUGCAGGCAUUUGCAAAUUCAAGAAAAAUGUUUGAUAUUAUCAUGCCAGGAAGUGAAAUCGCAGAAUGGUUUAGCCAACAAAAAGGUGACUUCUUUAUUAAGAUUCCCUUACCUAUCAACCUUCAAGAGGAUAGUGAAUGGAUUGGAGUUGCUUGUUGCUGCAUUUUUGUCAAUAGUGAUGCUUCAAGGGAUGCGGGCUUUAUCGACUGUCGAGCGUUAAUGUAUGGUAGAAAUCAUCGACGGAUUGAGGGUGGAGGCUAUUUGGUGGGUAAACGAUUCAACAUGCCCAUAAUGAAAGAUCACAUUUUUCUUCGUUAUUGGUCGCGUGAUAAAUUAUAUCCAUUUUCCUUGAAGGAUAAAUAUGGUGGCUGUGAAACCAAUAAUUUACGGGCAACAGGCUUAGAUCAUAAAUGUGAUGGGCUUUGUGUGUUUUUCAAUGGUCAUAGCCUUAAGGUGAAGAAGUGUGGUGUUAGAAUAGUGUAUGAGAAAGAUUUGGAAGAAAUAGAAGAGUUGCAGUGCCAUAUCACUCAAUCUUCACCAGAUUUUGAACACAUCCACCAACACUCUGCUCAAAACGAUGGAUCAGUAGGUAGCACUUCUGACAUAAAACAAAAACGAAAUAUCUCCGAGGAAGCGGAGGAAGAGGGGCUGCAACCAAAAUUGAUGCAAAAAUUUUUCAAAUUUAUAAUGGGCCAAUCAGGGAAGAAGCAUUAACUGUGGUAAACUACUUAACCAAUCUUUUAUUUAAAGUGAUCAAUCUAGACUUAUUUACGAUCCUUCUUACAUACCAAAAACUUAUAAAUCUUUUACUUAUAUUCAACAGGAGCUCAUAUCAUAGUUUAUAUAUAUCAUUUAAAAUUUUAGUGGCUUAAUUCAUUCCGUUUUACAUAACUGAAAUGUGAAAAUUUUUAUUGGUUUCAAUUUUUAUUAAAUUUUAUUUUCAUUAUAUAUACACUUAUAUCUAUAUUUUAUUUGUAGGUUGAAAUAAAUAUAAUCAACUUGACAUAGAAAUGUAGAGAAAAAUGGAUAGCUUCCGUGACAAAACAGGUAACAAUAAGGUGAAAUCCUUUAAUAAAGAUCAGAUUAUAAUUUGGACCGAGUUAAAAACUAUUUUUUUUAUUUGAGACUAACUUAUGUGUUCAAUUUAAUCACUCAAAAUUGUUUUUAUAUAUUUAGAAGAUUAAAAAUAAGUCCUUUACUAAUACUUGAAUAGGUUUAAUUACUCCUAAUAAAAAUAAGUCCAAAUUAUGUGUCAUUGUUUGGUUCAUUAACUUGUAAAUUAUGCAUUGUUCGCGAACCAAACAUAAAUCAACAUAUUAAUUCAAUUUUUUAGGAUUAGGUAAUUUAACAUUGGGUGUGAUUGUUAGAUAUAAGUAUCUCUUUAAUAUGGGUAUAUUCAAAAAAAAAUUUAAAAACUGUUUUUUUUCACGUAAUUAAAAAGUUAUUAAAGGAUCAUAUCUUAAUUAAUACCCAUAUACGAAUGUGUAUUAGAUAUAAGUAUUGGAUACGAGUACUUUAAAAAAUAAAUUGAUGCAACAUUUCUUUUAAAUAUUGAAUGUUUUAGUAUAUUUUGAAGCUCAUUUUUGCUUUGCUCAUUGAUAUUAGGGAAUCAGGCAAGAUGCUCAACUUGAGUGUCGAUGCCUUCUCAAAAAUGAAAAAUUUGAGAUUGCUCAAAGUGCUUUGCCUAUUAAAUUGUGAUGAUCUCAAAUUUCUUUCUAAUGAGCUACGGCUUUUAGAUUGGAAAGGAUGCCCUUUAAGAUCAUUACCUUCAAGCUUCCAACCGGACAACCUUGUUGCACUUCUUUUACCAUAUAGUCGCAUUCAACAACUAUAGAAGGGGAACAGAGUAAGAAUUAACUCAUGUCAUCCUUGUAUUUUAGCUUAUUUUAAUAUAAAUGAUUAAACUUUGCUUAAGGUAAAAAAACAAAAAUAAGCAUUAUUAUUAUUAUGUUUUCUCAUUUGUUUCUAAUUUAUUAUGAUCUUCAACAGCCCUUGUGUAAGUUGAAAAUGAUAAGCCUUGGAGGGUCCCAAAACCUGAUCAAGACACGAAACUUCACAACGGCAUCAAAUCUUGAAGUUUUAGUGUUGAAAGGUUGUACCAAAUUAGUGGAUAUUCAUCCAUCAAUCGCAGUACUUAAAAGCCUUAAAGUUUUGAAUUUAAGAGAUUGCAAAAGUCUUAGGACUCUUCCAACCAAAAUUGGAAUGGAAUCUCUUGAAGCAUUAAUUCUUUGGGGUUGCUCAAGUCUUGUAAGGUUUUCAGAGAUUGAUAGGAAAAUGGAACGUCUAAAAACUCUUGAUCUUUCAGGUUGUUAUAGAGUGGAAACUUUAUUGGAGAAUUUACAGCAAGCAAAGUUUUUGGAAGAGCUCGACUUGAGAGAAACAGCCAUAACAGAACUACCAUCCUUCAUUUUUCAAUUUAAAAAUCUUAAAGUUCUGUCUUUCAAUGAGUGCAAGGGACCAUCAUAUAAGUUACUACCAAAUUUGCCUUCUUUUUUCAAGGUAAUCCAAGGAAGAAGGACAAAUCCCAUGGCUCGGAUGUUGCCUUUGUUGUCAGGUUUGAGUUCUUUAAGAGUGCUAAGAGUGCUAAAACUAAAGGACUGCAAUCUUUGUGAAGGAGAUAUUCCACCAUAUAUUUUUGGUCUAUCCUUUUUGGAAUAACUUAAUGUUAGUGGUAACAAUUUCAUCAGCAUACCAGCAUCUCUUACUCGACUCUCCAAGCUUGCAAAUCUUAUAUUGUCAAAUUGCAAUAUGUGCACUUUUGGUGAAGCAGAUAUUCAUUAUGAUAUUUCUGGUCUAUCCUCUUUGAGUUAUCUUGAUUUUAGUGGUAACAAUUUAAUCAGCAUACUUGCAUCUUUUACUCGACUCUCAAAACUUCAUGUUCUUGACUUGUCAAAUUGCAACGUGUGCACUCUUGGUGAAGCACUCUUUGAUAUGUCUUGAUCUUAGUGGUAAGAAUUUCAUCACCAUUCUUUUGGAUCUUAUUGAAAAAUAGAAUGUCGGUAAUGACAAUAUAUCAUAAAGAAAAAAGAGAAAUAAAAAUAAAUAACAUAUAGAUUUUACGUGGAAAUCUUUUUUGUGAAAAAAACCACGGGUAAAUGAGAAGAAAAUUCAUUAUGUCGAAUUCGAAUAAUUACAAGAGAAGUAGACUAUGUCUAUUUAUAGGCUUGUAAAACCAUCUUCUAGUAAGAUUGAAACAUCUUAUUUUAAUUAAUUUCAAAUAGAUGGAGUUUAAUAAGGUUUAAAAAACCUUAUUCUAAAAAUAAAAUAAAUGAAGAAUAAUUCUAUAGGGAUUUUACUUUUUAUUUUAUUUUAGCACUAUAUUUGAUUUAAAUAAGGAUUCAGUCACUUAAUUCUAACAAUUUCUAUCUUGACACGAAUUCUUAAUGAACAAGUUCUUCAUCGUGAACUCUUAACGAAUAAGUUCUACACCUCUUCCAUAAAACCCCUUAAGGGUUUAAUUUCAACAAUGAACAUCAACUAAGUCUAAGCAAUGCUCAAACUUGGUUAUAGGAAGUGACUUAGUCAUUAUAUCUAUAGGAUUUUCAUGAGUACUAAUUUUGCUCACAACAAUAUCGCCACGAGUAAUAAUAUCACGAACAAAAUGAUACUGAACAUCAAUUUGUUUUGUUCUCUCAUGAAACAUUUGAUAUUUUGUAAGGAAGAUGGUACUCUGACUAUCACAAAAUACUGUAUUUAUUUGAAAGUUUUAAUUGAGUUCACUUAAGAAUCCCUUUAACCAAAUAGCUUAUUUACAAGCUUUAGUAAUCGCCAUAUACUUAACUUCAGUGGUAGACAAAGCGACUACAGUUUGUAAAGUGGCUUUCUAACUGAUUGCAAAACCCCCGAUUGUAAAGAAAUAACCUGUGAGAGAUCUUCUUAUAUCGAGGACUUCAGCAAAAUCAGCAUAAAAAAACCCAAUGACUCUAUCUCUAGUUCUUCCAAACUGUAAGCAAACAUCAGUAGUACCUUGCAAGUAUCUUAAAACCUACUGAACUGCUUUCCAAUGUUAUUUACCAGGAUUCAACAUGUAUCUGCUAACUGCACUGACUGCAUAUGAUAAAUCUGGACGUGAAUAAACCAUAGCAUACAUGAGAGAUCUCACUGCACUAGACUAUGGAACAUGUGACAUGUACUCAAUCUUAUCAUCUAAUUGUGGAGAUAAAGCCAAUUAAAGUUUGAAAUGGGCUACUAAAUGAGUACUAACAAGCUUAGCAUUCUACAUAUUGAAUCUGCAAAGAAUUAAUGUACCCCUUCUAACUUAGGUAUAAUUUACUUGCUUUUCUAUUUCUAAGAAUCUCUAUACUAAGUAUCUUAUUUGCUGGUAUCAAAUCUUUCAUCUCAAAUUCUUCACUUAGUUGGACUUUAACCUUUCUUAUCUCUCAUUUAUCUUUCGCUGCUAUCAACAUGUUAUCAACAUAAAGGAGUAGAUACACAAAAAGAGUAUCACAGUUUUUCUUAAAGUAAACACAACUUUUAAAACCAUGAGAAGUUAUAAAAGAAUCAAACCUCUUAUACCACUGUAUUGGUGACUGUUUCAAACCGUAAAGGGACUUUUUUAGCAAGCAAACAUAGUUUUCUUUUUCUAAGACUGUAAAACCCUCUGGUUGUUACAUGUAAAUAUCCUCCUCAAGUUCUUUAUGCAAAAAUUCAGUUUUUUCAUCUAACUGCUUAAGUUUUAAAUCAUGCAUUACCACAAUACCAAGCAAAGCUCGAAUCGAACUAUGCUUCACAACUGGAGAGAACACAUCUGUGAAGUCCACUUUUGGAAUUUGACUGUAACCCUUUGCAACAAGUCUUGCUUUAUAUCUUGGUUAUUCAACUCUUGGAGUCCCCUCUUUCUUCUUAAACACCCAUUUACAACGAACAACUUUUUUACCUUUAGGAAGUUUUAUAAGAUCUCAUGUUUUAUUUUUGUGUAGUGAUUUAAUCUCCUCUUACAUAGCAAACAUCCAAUUUUCUAAGUCUUCACAACAAACCGCCUCAAAAUAAUUAGAUAGUUCUUGAUUUUCAUCUAUAUCUUCAGCCUUAUUUAAAGCAUAAAUAAUUAGAUUAGCUUUCCUGUCUAUUUUUCAAUCAUGGUUUUUCAAGACUUAAAUGCGAAAAACACAUUGCUUUUUUGCUUCAAGAAGAACGCCCACACUUUUCUAGAAAAAUCAUAAAUAAAGGUUAGUAUAUAAUUAGCUCCACCUCUCAAAGACACUCUAGAUGGCCCCCACAGAUCAGAAUGAAUAUACUCUAACGUUCCCUUCGUGUUAUGAAUUCCUCUGGUGAAUCAACUCUCUUUUGAUUCCCAAAAAUGCAAUGCUCGUAGAACUUCAGUUUGCAAAUUUCUUACCCAUCAAAAAGUAAUCUUUUGUUCAAUUCUUCCAUGCCAUUCUCACUUAUAUGCCUUAGGCGUAUAUGCCAAAAUUUAGUAAUAUCAUCAUUAGUCAAGGAAGAGGAUGCGACAGCUGGAUCACCAGUAACUGUAGAACCCUACAAAACAUAUAACUUGACAGUCUUUCUCUGCCCUUUCAUCACAAUGAGGGAACCUUUGGAAAUAUUAAAAACCCCACUUUCAGUUGUGUAUUUGUACCCUUUUGAAUUAAGAAGACUUAACGAAAUUAAAUUUCUCUUCAAUUCUGGAACAUGUCGUACGUCACUAAGUGUUCUGACAACUCCGUCAAACAUCUUAACUUUAAUUGUUCCAACAUCUGUAAUUCUAUAUGAAGAAUUAUUUCCCAUCAAUACAACACCUUCAGACACUUUUUCGUAAGCUGUAAACCAAUCUCAACUAGAACUCAAGUAAAGAAAGCUGCCCGAAUCAAGGAUCCAUUCCUCGCUCACUUUAGAAUUGUUGACAGAAGCAAAAAGAAGUUCACCAUCGUUGUAGUCUUCUACAAUAUCAACGUUACCAAUUUUUUUUUAUUUUUUCCAUUUUGAUUCGCAAUCUUCCUUUUGAUCUUGUUCUAUAGCUUAUAACACUCAGAUUUAAUGUGUCCUUUCUUCUUACAGAAGUUACAAGUUUUACCUUUAUUUGAAGACUUCGAUCUACCCUUUGAUUUACCAUGAAGAUUUCGUUCCUGUGUCCUUCCACGAUCAUCAUUAACAUUCUGAUAUUGUCUUCCACAAACAAUAAGACCCUCUCUCUGAAUUCAGUUUUAACCAUAAAAUGCUUUAUCUUAUAAUACGAGGUUAAAGAAUCAUAAAUCUCAUCAAGUGUGAAAGACUCGCGACUAUAUAAAAUCGUAUCUCUAAAGGUUGAAUAAGAUGGGGGCAACGAAUAAAUUAGAAUUAACCCUAGUUCUUUCUUGUCAUAUUGAACCUUAAUGGCCUCUAAGUUUAAGAGAAUUUCUUUAAACAAUAUUAAGAGUUCGUGCACAGAUGCACCUUCCUCCAAACGAUGAGCAUAAAGAUGCUACUUCAUAUGCAACUUGCUAGUUACAGUUUUCGACAUAUAUAUUUGUUUCAACCUCUUCCAUAAUCCAGUAGCGAUCUUCUCUUUCAUCAUAUCUUGCAAAUUUUUUGUUAGAAAAAUGUAAAUGUAAUUGUGUUAACGCCUUUCGAUCCUUAUGCUUCUUCUUUUGCUCCGUCAAUGUUGAAGGCAUCUUAUCUACCCCUAGUAGGGCUUCCUCUAAGUCUAUUUAUGCAAGAAUUGCCUACAUCUUUAUUUGCCACAACGCAAAUCUGAUGUUGCGAUCCAACAAUGAAAUUUCAUACUUUAAAGACAUUAUUAUCGUGAUUGAGAUGAAAACUUAAAAGCUCAGAUACCAAUUUGAAAAAUAGAUUGUCGAUAAUGACAAUAUAUCUCAAAGAAAAAAGAGAAAUAAAAAUAAAUAACACACAGAUUUUACGUGAAAAUCCUUUCAGGAAAAAAAACCACAGGCAGAGAAGAAGAAAAUUCACUAUGUCGAAUUCAAUAAUUACAAGAGGAGUAGAUUAUGUCUAUUUAUAAGCUUGUAAAACCAUCUUCUAGUAAGAUUGAAACACCUUAUUCUAAUCAAUUUCAAAUAGAUAGAGUUUAAUAAGGUUUAAAAAACUUAUUCUAAAAAUAAAAUAAAUGAAGUAUAAUUCUAUAGGGAUUUUACUUUUAUUUUAUUUUACCACUAUAUUUGAUUUAAAUAAUGAUUCGGGUCACUUAAUUCUAACACUUACUCAACUUUCCAGGCUCAAAUUGCUUAAAUUGUCAGGUUGCAAGAUGCUUAAAUCGUUGCCUGAGCUACUAAGAAGUAUAACAGUUGUGAGUAUAGAUAGUUGUUCUUCACUUGAAGUAGUUGCAAGUCCAUCAAUAGUUUGCAAUUUAAUGCAUUCAGGUGCCGUUAAAGCCAUUAACUGCUUCAAAUUGGCUGAGAAUAUCAAUGCAUUAACACUGCUGAAAAACAUCUUAAGGUUGAUUAUCUCUUUUUUCUCCCUUACAAAAUCUCAUACAUUUUACCAAACGACUUGUGUUCUAUUUUGCAAGCAUUGGCAAAUUCAAAAGAAAAGUUUGAUAUUAUGAUGCCCGGAAGUGAAAUCCCAGAAUGGUUUAGCCAACAAAAAAGUGACUCUUCAAUUAAGAUACCCCUACCUAUCAACCUUCGGAAAGAUAGUCAAUGGAUUGGAGUUGCUUGUUGCUGCAUUUUUGUCAAUAAUGAUCCUUCAAUGGAUGACGAGAUUUUACGUUGUGUAGCAUUUACCUGUUGUAGAAAUUCUUGAAAACCUUCUAUGAAAGAUAAGUAGAGAGACCAACAUGCUAAGAAAGCACAAGUGUCUGGUUGUCCCUAAUGAAAAUUGACAGGUUUCGGCCGUCAAAACAAAUAUGCACCCUUAAAUCCUGACCUCCGGCUGAAAUGUUAACAUCGUAGUUGCUUAAAGAAACUUGCUUGGUUGAUUGGAUCCUGUUUAUGUUUAACCCAAUAUGGUUGUCAUCCAUAUCUUGCUCGUUGCUCUUUCUGACAUCAAAUUCCACCGCCACCACACUGGCUUGAUUGAGAAGAACCAUUUGUGUUCUCAUUUACCAUCCCCAGCCACUGUCCUUGGCUGUUGUCCAGUAGGCUGGAGUUGUUUAUUAAAAAGGCAACACCUUCGCCACCACAAGAGGUUUGAUUGAGGCUAUUGAGGACGAACUCACAUGGAAAGAAGCAAUAGUGGUGUGGUUGCCUUUCUAAAGCUGAAAUGGUUUCUUAUACAGAGCUCGUCUAGACAAAUUUUCCAUGGAACCUCCAUAACAUCUCCAGUAGCUUGGAUGGUUCCAAGAACUAUGUAAGAAUUCCUACUCAAGAUAAGUUGGCUUUAACCAUAUUUCUGGAAAGUUGAAAAUUUGAACUGAAAAGGCCUUCUAUUAUAUAUCAAAAAAUUUAAAAUUUUUUAUUCAUAUAACAUAGUUUUUAAAACAUUUAAAAUUUUAGUCACUCAUUUUUACAAAAUGUGUACGUUUUAAUUGGGUUUACAUUUUUUUUAAUUUUAUUUUCAUUAUAUGUAUUCACUUACAUCUAUAUUUUAUUGUAGGUUGAAGUAAAUUUAAUUAAAUUAAUACCGAAAUGUGGAAUAAAAUGAAUAUAUUUUGUGACGAAACAGGUAAUAAUAAAGUGAAUCCUUUAAUAAGGAUUGAUCAUAAUUUCAGCUGUGAAAUGGUAAAAUUAACAUAUUUUAAUCUCAUUCUUAAUGCGUUUUUGGAUGAAUAUUUAUGCAAAUUGGUGAAUUUGAUGCUCCUAAUCCUUUGAAUUAAUGUUUUUAUAUUUAGGUGAACAUUAGGGAGCAGAAGAAGCGAAAAACGAGUGAAAAUCAGAGAAAAAGAGUAAAUUUCAGGAGCCACACGGGUUGGGCACACGCCCUUAUGAGCCACACUGGCUGGACACACGCCUAUGUGCCAGCCCGUGUCGAUUUCGCACUUUGCUUCCCAAACACACGGAAAAACAUAAUUUUUAGGCUUUCUAAACAUUCUAAAGUCUAUAAAUACCAAAUAGAAGAAGAAAUAGGGGAGCCAUUAGAGAAGGUCAAAGAAAACCCUCAAGGAACACCAUUGGAGUUAAUUCCCUAGAUACCUAGGGAGGAUGAAACCUAUGACGAAUUCUAUUAUCUAAUAUCUAAUUUACAUGAUAAAUACUUUAUUCUUAUUUUCAAUUAUGCGUGUUUAUUUCUUAUUUUAAUAUUUUCGGGAUAUUAAUUCAUGUUUAAUGUGCUUAAUUCAAUGGAGCAAAAGUCCCUGUGUAAGAGUAAAUUUAGCAUAACUGAGUGGACUUGCAUGCAAUCCUAUAAAUAGGACGACAGAAAUCUACCUGAUUAGAGUCAAAUCUAAUGGGGGAAUCCAUAGAUCGAGUUACUGUGACAAUAGGAGUUUUAAUUAGAAAGAGAUUUCAAUUAAUUAACCUCAAGUCCGUUGUUCUUACUCUCGAAAUAGAUAUUAACAUAAUUUAAGAAUUUCUACGAAUCAAGACACCAAGUGAAUAAAUCGUUUAAAUCAAAUUAAUAAAAUUAAUAAUACUAGAAGGAAUCUAGAUAGAUUGCGCAUUUUUACUUGUAAGGUUAUUAUAUAAUUUAUUAUAUAAUUAUGUUAUUAUACUAUUUUAAAUAGGGUUUUUGAAUUUUUUUUUGUAAAAUAUAAAUUUACAUAGUAAUUUAAUUGUAAUGUAAAUAAAUCCUUUUAAAUAAGGUAUAAUGAUAAAAAAAAUUUUCUUAUUGUUUAUAAAAUUUUAUUUUGAGUCAAAUUAUAAAUUUUUUUAAUGCAAAAUGCUGAUUAAACCAUUGACGUGAUAUGAAUAGUGAACUAUUAAACUUUUCAAGGGUAGUCUUAAUUGGAUCAUCUUUCCACAAUAGCCUUAUUUAAGUUUAUUAUGUUUUCUCAUUUGCUUCUCAUUUAUGAUGGUCUUCAACAGCUCUUGUAUAAGGUGAAAUGCGGCUGAGAUGGGAUUGCAUGUGGGAUUCUCGAGGGUGGAGAUCGAAGGAGACUCCUUAUCUGUGAUUCGGAAGCUGCAAACAAAGGGAGUUGAAAGGUCAGUGAUAGGAGCCUAUAUCUCAAAUACAGGGGUAUCAAAUCUGUGUCUUUAAACAUGUGCCAAAACAAGCAAACGGAGUUGCACAUCUAUUGGGUACAGAGGGAUUAAAGAGAGAUGAAGAAACUUAUCUUGUUGGCGCGGUUCCUUCAUACGCGAAAGUGGCAGCGGAAGAGGACCGUCAACAGUUGGGCUCACUUUGUCCCGCAGGUUGAAGAUCCACUGCUUAGAAAGAAGAUAAAAUGGGAUUUUACUGUGGGCAAACAGAUCGGAGAAUAGAUGGACUACUGGGUUUCUAAGUUUCGACGGAAGAUUGGUGUUUUGAAGUGAUGAAAUGCAGAGUUUAGCCAGACCUGAAGGGUUUCUUCCAGUUGCAUCGGAAAGAUCUAGAGCAGACAUUUUGGUGGUUAUCAACGAAACAAAGAAGGCAUCUGAAGGGUUUCGCUUUCUCAGAUGUUUAGGGAAAAGGAAAGUCUGCCUGGGUGGUUGGAUUAUCCUACUUUAUAAUGUCUGUGCUCUAAAUGAUUUGGAAUUUGUUUUAUUGAUAUAACUGCUACAGAUUGACUGAGAACAUCAAUCUAUUCACAUUGCUGAUAAAACAUCUUAUGGUCAACUAAAUCCCAGAAUGGUUUAGCGAACAAGGAUGAUUCUUCAAUCAGGAUAACUUCACCUCUCACUAUUCAGAUAGAUAAUGAAUGGAUUGGAGUUGCUUCACGUCGCAUUUUUGACAUUGAUGAUGCUUCCAAGGAUAUGGAGGCUAUCCUUUUUACAGCCAAUAUCCAUUGUAGAAAUGUUGGAGAAGCUGGUUGUAAUAUGCUUGAGCUGUCUUUCACAACCCAAUUGGUCACAGUCUUAAAGGUGAAGAAAUGUGGUGGUAGAAUAGUGUAUAAGAAAGAUUUGGAAGAAAUAAAAGAGUUGCAAUGCCAUAGCACUCAAUCUUCUCCAAAUUUUGAACAUAUCCCCCACCACUCUUCUCACAACGAUGGAUCAGUAGGUAGCACUUCCCUUAUAAAACCCGAACGUAAUAAGGAGAGGGAGGAAGAAGGGCUACAACCAAAACGGAUGCAAAAAUUCUUCAAUUUUAUAAUUGCCGAUCGAAGAACAAGCAUUAAUUGUGAUAAACUGCUUCACUAACUUUGUCCUGUUAAUUCCUUUUCAGACAUUUUUAGCUAUGUUAUUUACAAUUUUUUAUUUGAUUUAAAGUAUUCAUUCCUUUUCACAUAAUUGGAAACUUAGUAUAUAUAAACUGAAAAACGACAUGGGACAUAAGGUAUUUCCAAUUUUCUACAAUGUGGAUCCAUCCGAUUUAAGAAAACAGAAAGAGAAAGUUGAGGAGGUGUAAUAGCCCGAUUUUAGGCCUAGUCGGAACAGUGGUUUCGGGACCACAAAUCCGACGAAAAAAAAAAUGUAAUGGCUUGAAUUUUCAGAGGUGUCGGAACGGUGAUUCGAGAUCACUAAAUUCGACAAAUGGGUAGAAAAUAUUAUUAAUUUAGUAAGUAUAAGUUAAAUGUGAAGUUAGGAAAAUUUUUGAAAUAGUGAAUAGUGCACUAGAAAUAAAUAUUAAAAUAAUUAGAAUCAAAAUGAGGUAUCAAGACCUCGGGGAUUUUAAACCGAGCCAUAAAUAUUUUUAUAAAUAUUUAUGGAGUGUUAAAAAGUUAGUAUUAAAGUUUCGUUAAGAAAUUUUAAAGUUCCGAUAAUUAAUUGAACAAAAAGGACUAAAUUGUAACAAAUGCAAAAUUAUAGGAAAUAAUUAAAUAGCUUAAAUGAUAAAAGGAAGAGGGCUUAAAAGGUAAAUAGACCCAAGGCCUAUUUGGGCUGGACGGCAGGGGCAUGAAAUCAGCAGAAAGUAAAGAGAAUUAAGGGUAAAAUUGGAAUAUUGCAAAAUUUGCUUAAUAAAGUUAGGACCAAAGUGGAAUUAUCUAGAUUUCUCUUCAUUUUUUUCUGAAUUCUCAUCAGCUAAAACACCAUGGAAGGGCUUCUUCAAGCUGGUUCUUCAUAUUUUUAUUACAAGUAAGUUCAAUUCUUGACUAUUUCUUGAAAUUUUUGUAUUUUUAUGACUUUUACAACUAGGCCCACUUGUUAAAUUCAUUAGUUUUUGAUUUUAUGAAAGAAGUUGAAAGUUGAUAUGAAUAUGUGCUGGAAGUAUAUGAUGAUUUAUCAUGAAAUUAGAGCUUUAAAUUGUUCAUAUGCUGAUUUUAUUGAAAGAAUUGAAUAGAAAGUGAAUGUUUGGGACCUAAUAGUAAAAGAGUUUGAAGAUAGAGUUAUAUGUGGAAAUUCUGAAUUUCAAUAGUUGUGUAACAACUUAUAAUGCCUAGUAAAGUAAUAAUAGAGAAAAUUAGAUUAAUUGAGGGGUUAAUUGAGAAAGGACCGAAUUGUAUAAACUGUGAAAUUUGGGGCAAAAUGGAAAUCGNNNNNNNNNNNNNNNNNNNNNNNNNNNNNNNNNNNNNNNNNNNNNNNNNNNNNNNNNNNNNNNNNNNNNNNNNNNNNNNNNNNNNNNNNNNNNNNNNNNNNNNNNNNNNNNNNNNNNNNNNNNNNNNNNNNNNNNNNNNNNNNNNNNNNNNNNNNNNNNNNNNNNNNNNNNNNNNNNNNNNNNNNNNNNNNNNNNNNNNNNNNNNNNNNNNNNNNNNNNNNNNNNNNNNNNNNNNNNNNNNNNNNNNNNNNNNNNNNNNNNNNNNNNNNNNNNNNNNNNNNNNNNNNNNNNNNNNNNNNNNNNNNNNNNNNNNNNNNNNNNNNNNNNNNNNNNNNNNNNNNNNNNNNNNNNNNNNNNNNNNNNNNNNNNNNNNNNNNNNNNNNNNNNNNNNNNNNNNNNNNNNNNNNNNNNNNNNNNNNNNNNNNNNNNNNNNNNNNNNNNNNNNNNNNNNNNNNNNNNNNNNNNNNNNNNNNNNNNNNNNNNNNNNNNNNNNNNNNNNNNNNNNNNNNNNNNNNNNNNNNNNNNNNNNNNNNNNNNNNNNNNNNNNNNNNNNNNNNNNNNNNNNNNNNNNNNNNNNNNNNNNNNNNNNNNNNNNNNNNNNNNNNNNNNNNNNNNNNNNNNNNNNNNNNNNNNNNNNNNNNNNNNNNNNNNNNNNNNNNNNNNNNNNNNNNNNNNNNNNNNNNNNNNNNNNNNNNNNNNNNNNNNNNNNNNNNNNNNNNNNNNNNNNNNNNNNNNNNNNNNNNNNNNNNNNNNNNNNNNNNNNNNNNNNNNNNNNNNNNNNNNNNNNNNNNNNNNNNNNNNNNNNNNNNNNNNNNNNNNNNNNNNNNNNNNNNNNNNNNNNNNNNNNNNNNNNNNNNNNNNNNNNNNNNNNNNNNNNNNNNNNNNNNNNNNNNNNNNNNNNNNNNNNNNNNNNNNNNNNNNNNNNNNNNNNNNNNNNNNNNNNNNNNNNNNNNNNNNNNNNNNNNNNNNNNNNNNNNNNNNNNNNNNNNNNNNNNNNNNNNNNNNNNNNNNNNNNNNNNNNNNNNNNNNNNNNNNNNNNNNNNNNNNNNNNNNNNNNNNNNNNNNNNNNNNNNNNNNNNNNNNNNNNNNNNNNNNNNNNNNNNNNNNNNNNNNNNNNNNNNNNNNNNNNNNNNNNNNNNNNNNNNNNNNNNNNNNNNNNNNNNNNNNNNNNNNNNNNNNNNNNNNNNNNNNNNNNNNNNNNNNNNNNNNNNNNNNNNNNNNNNNNNNNNNNNNNNNNNNNNNNNNNNNNNNNNNNNNNNNNNNNNNNNNNNNNNNNNNNNNNNNNNNNNNNNNNNNNNNNNNNNNNNNNNNNNNNNNNNNNNNNNNNNNNNNNNNNNNNNNNNNNNNNNNNNNNNNNNNNNNNNNNAUAUGAAUGAUUUGUGUAUAAUUGGUCAUAUGUUUGAUUAUAAUUGAUAGAUGAUGAAAUAGAAAUGAUGCUUAAAUUUGUGCAUUAUUGGACAUGGUUUAAGCUCAUGUGUGAAAAUAAAGUUUCAUAGCAUGUGUGUAUGGUAUAUUCGGUAUAUGAUUUGGCAUGAAAUAAUGUCAUGAAUGGUUUAUCAUGUGAUUAGUUCCAAAAAGAGUUAUGUUUCAAUACACUAGCUUGCAACUAUGGUUGAAUGAUAUGUUUAUAUCUUGUGUAAUGUGCAUAGGAAACAAGUGUGGAAGAUAAUGAAAUAGUAAGUUCAUAUGGCUGAAAUUUAAUGAUUAAAUGUUAAUUUCAUGAAUUAUAUAAUGUAUGAUGAAAUGUAUUUAUUGUUGAAAUGAGAAUAAAAUAAAAAUGUGAAAAGUUAUAGAAACAUGUUAAUUAUUUUGAAAGUUUUUAUUUAGAUGAAAUUUUAUAACUCGGUUAAAUACGUUUACAAGUGUAUGUGUUUUGGUAAUGCCUCGUACCUUAUUCCGGUGUUGGAUACGGGUAAGGGGUGUUACAGGAGGCCUUUGCCAAACACGAAGAGAGAUACAAGGAAGAUAGAGACAAGAUCCAAAGGUGGCGAAACGCUUUGAUUCAAGUGGCUAACAUUAAGGGAUGGCAUUUAAAUAACAGGUAAUUCUUUCUUUUCUUCUCUACUUUCUAGUUUAUUUGAAAAGUGUCAUAUUUCAAUAAAAGAGCAAAUUUUGUAUUCUGGUUCCGCAACAGAUCUUGCUUUCUUAUUCUUGGUUUUUGUUUGCUUCCAUUAUGAUUCAAUGAGAUACAAAAUGCAUUUGAAAGAUAUCAACAAAAUUUUAUUCAAAAAAAUUAAAAUUUCUUUCUUCACAGGCACGAAUCAGAAUUUAUUAGAGACAUUGUUAUGAAGAUAUCAGCAAAACUAUGUCAAACAUAUCCAGUUACUCAUAGCGACUUAGUUGGAAUUAGUGAACGCUUGGAGGAUUUGUAUUUGAAAAUAAAUAUUGGGGAAAUGAUGUCCGCAUUAUAGGAAUUUGCGGAAUGGGUGGCAUCUGUAAAACGACACUCGCAAGAGUUGCUGACACUCAAAUGUCACCUCAUUUUGACGGUAAAAGCUUUAUUGCUGAAAUUCGAGAAGUUUCAGACAAAUGAGGACUAGUUUUCUUUACAAAAACAACUUCUUUCACAGAUCUUUCAUGAUGAAUGCUUCAACUUUUUCAAUGUUCACGAAGGGAAUGCCAUAAUUAACCAUAGCUUGUCUCACAAAAAGGUUCUUGUUGUUCUUGAUAAUGUUGAUAACAUACAACACUUAAAAUGCUUGGUUGGAAGGUGUGAUUGGUUCGGAUUAGGGAGUAGAAUCAUUGUAACAACAAGAGACGAACAUUUGCUUCGAUGUUGCUAAGUUGAUGAUGUGUAUAUGCCCACAACACUGAAUCCCAAAGAUGCACUUCAACUUUUCAAUUUGAAAGCUUUCCAUAGUGAUACAGUGUCGAAAGAUGAUUUCAUUGAACUUUCUAAACAUCUUGUAAAUUAUGCCGGUGGGCUCCCUCUAGCUCUUGAAGUUUUGGGUUCCUUUUUGUGCGGUAGAGAUGCUGCUCAAUGGAGAAGUGCGAUUGAAAGACUAAAAAGAGAUUCUAAAAAAGAAAUCCUCGAUAAACUUUGAAUCAGUUUUGAUGGAUUGGAAGAAAGAGGGAAGAAUAUAUUUCUAGAUAUAGCAUGCUUAUUCAAUGGGGAGAAGAAAGAUUUUGUAAUGAAAGUAUUGAAUGGUUGUGAGUUUUUUCCCGAUAUUGGAAUUGAUGUUCUCAUUAAGAAAUCUUUAAUAAAAGUCGAUGAUGGCAACCAAUAUUUGUGGAUGCAUAGCUUGUUGCAAGAAAUGAGAAGAAAAAAUGUUACAGAAAAAUGUGUUGAUGAACUUGAAAAACGUUCCAGAUUGUGAGAGGAAACGAAUGUCCAUCAUAUCCUAACAAAAAAUACUGUAAGCCAUUCAACAAAAUUUACAUACUAUUUCUUUUCCUUUUUAUAGAAUAUCUAAUCAAUAUAUAAUAUAAAUUCAAAGCUUAGUCUAAUUGGUAGAUAUGACGAUCUUAAAAAGUGAUAUUUGGUACUUUUGAGAUGAAUUAUGUUUGAUGUUUACAAAUAUUAAAAAGAAUUUGUAGAAAUAAAUAUUUAAUUUCAUUGCAUUAAAAUUUCAAUAGUUUUAUCUUACAGGAUGCACCAUUUAUUUUGUUUUUUUAAUUUUUGUUCUUGAAUUUUUUAGGCUACAGAAAUGAUUGAAGGCAUAAUCAUUGAUAAUAAAAGGUAAUACAUAUAACAUGAUAUCUUUGUGUACUGUAAAUAAUAAUUUUUUUAAACUCCAUAUUUCAAUGUUUAAUUAUGAAAUUUAGCUAGCAACAUAGUACUCUUUCAAAAGAAUCAAUAGAGAAAUAUGUAUUUUUUAAAUAUUAAUGGUAUAUAUUUAAUUAGAGGUGUUUAUGAGCUGGAUCAGGCCUAUGCAAGAUAUUUAGAUUAUUUUUCUAAACUAGGGCUUGAAUCGAAAAAUGGGCUUAUUUUUUACCCAAUCCCGACCCGAUUUAAGAAAAGUAAACUCAAGCCCAAUCUAGACCAUCCAUAUUUGAUUUUUUUUAGAUUAAUUUUAUUUAAAAUUAUUUUUAAAAUAUAUUAUAUUGAAUACACUAAAAAAGUUCAAAAUAAAUGUUUCUAACACAUUAAAAAGUAUUUAUAUUAAAAAAUACUACCGUAAAUAUAAUAAAUAUUUUAUUAAAUUAAAGAAUUAUGCAUUGUUUUGAUUUUGGAAGGUUGUACCAAAUUAGUGGAUGUUCAUCCAUCAAUCGGAGUGGUUAAGAGCCUUAAACUUUUGAAUUUAAGAGACUGCAAAAGUAUUGGGAGUCUUCCGACCAAAAUUGGAAAUUUUUUCGGGUUGCUCAAGUCUUGUAAGGUUUCCGGAGAUUGAUGGAAAAAUGGAACGUCUAAAAACUCUUGAUCUUUCAGGUUGUUAUAGAGUGGAAAAUUUAUCGGAGAAUUUGCAGCAAGCAAAGUUUUUUGAAGAGCUCGACUUGAGUGAAACAGCCAUAACAGAACCACCAUCCUUCAUUUUUCAAUUUAAAAAUCUUAAAGUUCUGUCUUUCAAUGGGCGCAAGGGACCAUCAUAUAAGUUACUACCAAAUUUGCCUUCUCUUUUCAAGGUAACCCAAGGAAGAAGGACGAAUCCCGUGCCUCGGAUGUUGCCUUUGUUGUCAGGUUUGAGUUCUUUAAGAGAGCUAAAACUAAGGGACUGCAAUCUUUGUGAAGGAGAUAUUACACGUGAUAUUUCUGGUCUAUCCUGUUUGGAUAAACUAGAUCUUAGUGGUAACAAUUUCAUCAGCGUACCUGCAUCUCUUACUCGACUCUCGAAGCUUGCAAAUCUUAUAUUGUCAAAUUGCAACAUGUGCACUCUUGGUGAAGCAGAUAUUCAUAGUGAUAUUUCUUGUCUAUCCUCUUUGAAAAGUCUUAAUCUUAGUGGUAACAAUUUCAUCACCAUUCCUUUGGCUCUUACUCAACAUUCCGGGCUGCAAUCGCUUGUAUUGUCAGAUUGCAAGAUGCUUAAAUUGUUGCCUGCGCUAUCAACAAAUAAACAAGUGCAGAUAGAUGGUUGUUCUUCACUUGAAGUAGUUGCAAGUGCAUCAAAAUUAUGCAAUUUAACGGGUCGUGGUUACAUCAGUGCCAUUAACUGCUUCAAAUUGGCUGAGAAUAUCAAUGCAUUAGCACUGCUGAAAAAACAUAUUAAGGUCGAUUAAUCUCUUUUUUCUCCCUUACAAAAUCUCCUACUUGAGAAAUUAUGGUUUCAGUUACCAAAAGACUUGUGUUGAAGCUUGGGUUGCGUUGCUCACACCCGGUGGCAGCGGCUAGGCCUAGCAUGUCCAGCAUUAUAUCGUAUUUGGACGGUGUUGCUUCAUUGCCCGAUCACUUGAGCCCUGUUAUCAAAGCUUGAAAAUACCCUGCAGGAUAAAAAAAAGUGACUCUUCGAUUAAGAUACAGGUUGAUUGGUGGGGCUAUAUUUUGUUGACAGGUAGGAAUCAGCCCAUAACAAAAGAUCACCUUUUUCUUCGUUAUUGGUCGCGUGAUAAAUUAUUUCCAUUUUCCUUGAAGGAUAAAUAUGGUGACUGUGAGCUUGAGGUGUCUUUCUUACAUCCAUGUAAACCCAAUGCUAAGGUGAAGACGUGUGGUGUCAGAAUAAUGUAUGAGAAAGAUUUGGAAGAAAUAAAAGAGUUGCAGUGCCAUACCACUCAAUCUUCUCCAAAUUUUGAACACAUCCUCCAACACUCUGCUCACAACCAUAGAUCAGUAGGUAGCACUUCUCACAUCAUACAGAAAAUGUAAGAUCUACGAGGAAGCAGAGGAAGAAGGGCCGCAACCAAAAUGGAUGCAAAAAAUUUUCAAUUUUAUGAUGGGCCAAUCGGGGAAGAAGCAUUAAUUUUGGUAAAGUACUUAACCAACCAUGUACUAUUACUUCUAUUUCAUUUAAAAUAAUCAAUUUAAAUUUAUUUAUGUAUAAGAUAUGAUCUCUUUAAUAUAUAUUAAAAAAUUUUAAAAUUUUUAGCCAUACAAUCGUAUUGAAUAUGUACAUAUCUCAAAUGUUGAUAAUAUAAUUUUUUAUACCACUUAAAAUUUGUCACUUAAUUUAUAUUUUUUUUACUAUUUAAAAUUUUAGUCAUCAAUUCAUUCCUUUUUACAUAAUUGAAAUGUGUACAUUUUAAUUGGUUUUACUUAUUUAUUAAAAUUUUAUUUUCAUUAUAUAUAUUCGCUUACAUUUAUAUUUUAUUUAUAGGUUGAAGUAAAUAUAAUCAAUUUGAGAUAGAGAUGUGAAGAAAAAUGGAUAGUUUCAGGACAAAGCAGGUAAUAAUAAAGUGAAAAAUCCUAUAACGAGGAUAAAAUCAAAUUUUUGGGACGGUCAUAGUACAUUUACAAAUGACUAAAUUUAAAAAAAAAAAAAUUUGAAGGGCUAUGGCCCAUGGGCCUCUACAUGGCUCCGUCGUUGCAUCCAUGCAAAAUCGAGAAAAAAAAUGAAUAAGACGAUCUUCUAACUCCCUACCCCAAGCCCUAAUAUAGGCAGGGGCGAAGUCAAGAAAUUUUUGAGGGGGUCGAAAUUAAAUUGUAUUUUUUAUGAUAGUAAAAAUAUAAUUUUACCAUUUUAAUAGUUUGUAUAUUUAUAAUUUUAAUAGUUUAUAACAAAUAGAAAAUACCUACUCCUAGAUCAAUAUAAAAGCAUAGGUUAUAAGAUUAACCAAUCUCAAACAUAUGUUGAUUAUAUUUAGGUAAUAGUUGGUAGGUUUAGCUAACAUGAAUAUAAAUUAGAAAUCAUCAACUGAAAUAUUAUAUAGAUAUAUAUAUAUAUAUAUAUUUACCAACUUUCGAAGGAAAUAUGAAACAUAAAUCAAUGGGUGAACAAAUCAAUGAAGUAAAAUGCAGAUAGUAUUGAGAUGCAAUAUGAUUAAAUCUCUACUUGCUGCCUAUGGCAUGAGCAUCAAUGGUGGAACCUAAACAAUUAAGCUGAAUGAUGUUCACCACUGAUCCUAUGAAUCAAAACCAGCCAAUAACAAGUCAACUGUCAAAAAGAAUUCAAGUAUGAAUCUUAAUCUCUCCUCACUACAAUGCUCAAACAACAUGAGAGCAGUAACAUACAAAGAAAUUUCGGCCCAAACUGAUAUGAUAAUCAAAAUCCAAGAUAAGAAAAUAUCAACUCCAAUAGCUCUACCAUGAAACUAACCCAAUCUAGCUUGAGAAUGAAAACUGUCAAAGGUUGCCUCCAGCUCCAUGUGUUUAUCCCACAAGUUUUGAGAUCUGUUGCAAAUUCUGGAUUUAUAUAAUCCCAUUGAUAAAUAUGGGAAAAAUGGUGAGGAUGCUGAAAAUCAUUAUAUGAACCUAAAAUCAUGAUAAUAAGUCAAAGUCAAAGGUAACUUACUUCUCCACCAAGACUGAAUUGCCAGAACCCAAAAAGGGGCUCAAAAGAUUAUUUUGACUUUGUGUUGACAAAUCUGUUGACAAUUUGCAUUGUCACCAAAUAUCAGUUCAAACACUUGUAUAAAACAAGCAUUCAGUAAAUAAAAUUGAAGGUCUUACAGCUCAGGUGUUCCUCCUUGUAUGGCUAAAGCUCCAAUUCAGCAGUGGCAUUCCCAAAGAUUUGUCAUUCCCUAAUCAUACAUCAACACAGAAGCAAAGGAUAUAAGAAAAAACAAUCUCACAAAUAACCAAUCUUUCUAAUGAAUCAAGAUAUGAUUGAAGGAAAAUGGAGCAAGUACUGAGAUACCAGAUGAUACCAACGCUGGAACUAAACAAUGAAGCUGAACCGAGUCCACCAUUGGUCCUAUGAAUUAAAAAAAAAACAACCAAUAACAAGUCAACUGCCAAUAAGAAUUAAGUAUGAAUUUUAAUAUCUGAAUUUUGGUACCCACCAAAAUCCCCUACGGACAUUUUAUCAACUCCAAAGCAGAAUCAUUUUGCUACUGUAUUGAAAUCUCCAGUUACUGUUCAAUUUUCCUCCAAAUUAAUUAAUAUAUAUGGAGAAUUUCCUUCUUGGACAAUAUAUGCUAUAUCUACAACAGAACACAGACACGGCAGGGGAAUGAAGAUGAGAAAAAUAAUAGUAAGCAACAAUCACAACUGUUGAACAAAUUUCCAAUUUUAUGUUUCAUAAAUUAUGCUUUUAACAUUUACAAUGUGGAACUACAAGGUUUCAGUAUGGUAAAGCACCUUCUAGAAGACAAGUAAUUUAUAAAGCAGAGCAAGUUUAGAUUCAUCCUGGUUGGUUUUAAUUAAUUAAAGCACUUCAUUUUGUGUCACUAAUUUAUAAGUUGAAAAUUUACUAUUAACAAUUGUGGAAAACAGAAGUAUGACAAUAUGAAAAAUAAAUGAAAAAACUGAAAAAUUUAUGAUAAUAUGAAAAAAUGAGAUGAAAAUGAAACCCCUACCUAUGCGUUUGAUGACAUAAUUGAGAAGUUGAAAGUCCUCAAAAGCAGAGCCCAAGAUGGAAAGAAAUACAAACUAUUUCAAUCUUUUAACUCCUCCACCCCCUUCUUCACCAUCAUGGCUAAAGCUUCUUUUGUUCCCAGCAUGUCUCUUUUCAGUAGCAUCUGUAUCAUCUGUAGCAUCUGUAGCAUCUGUAUCAUCUGUAUCACCCUCUGCAUCCACGUAAAAUACAUGAACACCACAUCUCUCCACCUUGACAUACUCUUUUCCUCCGCUUCUUAAAUCCAAAAGUCUGAUGUAGCAUUUGAAUGAUGCCUCCUCAUAAUUCUGGUCUUCUUUAACCAUGUCGGCGGUAGAUAGAAUAAACACGUGAUAAUCCUUGUACUUCUCUGGCUCAGGAAACAAUAACAAAGAUAUUUUACUUCUUAGCUUUUUAUAACCACCACCACCACCAUCAUUGCCACCAUCGGCGGCUGUAAGUUGGUACUUACAAAUACAUUCAACAUCACUAAUGUAACGGCAGUGAGUGAGAUCAGCCACAAGGCAGAUAACAAAAACCAAAAAUCUGCUCCCACCACCCCCAUUUGGGGCUAUCUUCAAACUUAAGGAAGAAUUCAUGCUCUGACACUUGAACUUAUUUGCUGAAAUUUUGUUUCCUGGGAAACAACAAAUCAAACUUGACAAAUCAGGAAUCUUGCCACAGCAAUCAUAUCUCGCUGCCCAUUUCUUAGCUAGGGAUCGAAUUUUGAGCAUGGCAUUUGCCUCAAUGUUAUUAAUUGACUCUUGAUUCAAGUUGAAGCAAUUACGGAAUAGCAUGGUAAACUCAUAAAAACAAGCAUCACCAGCAUCUAAAUAAUCAAACUGAUAUAAAUUUUGAUCUGCAAAGGAAACUUUUUCCAAUGAUGUGCAGUCAAGUACAUUCAACUUGAGCAGAUAUGGUGGAAGCUCUGAGAGUAAUUUGAGGCUCUUGCAACGAUCCAUAUGCAUAUACUUAAGGCUUUUAAACCUCAAGCUUGGUGAGCGCACAUCAACAGUUGGAAAUUUAACGAUUGGACAACCACUAAGAUCUAGAGAAAAAAGGGAUUUCAACUUUGAAAUAUUGCUUGAUACAUCUUUUACCAUUGAGUUUGUCAAGGUCAACCAUUGAAGUCUGUCGAGAUGCUCAAUGAAAUCAGGUACUUCUUUUAUUCCGGUUUCUGAUAAAUCUAACUCAUAAAAGUAAUUUGGGAUCUCCGGAAACUUCUUGAGACUACGACAUCCCUCAAGGCGAAGGGUUUUAAGUGAUGUCAAACGGGCGAGGGAAGGAAGUUUAACCAGACUUUCGCAAUUUUCACAGUCAAGUCUUUCCAGGUUGAGGGCUCCUAAUAAAUUAGGGAUCUUCUUUAAAUUUUUGCAACUGAAAAGGUUAAUUUUCCGUAAAUGAACAAGAUCCUGCACAUGAUGAGAACAUAUAUAAAGUAGUUAGAGCAUCAUUUUACUUAGACUCUUAUCAAAAUAAAAAUUUAUAUUACCCACCAUCAAUACAUCAAAUUGUUUCGUUUAAAAAAUAGAAUAAAAUCUUUUAUAUUUAUUUUUCUAAAAAGUUAAUAAAAAUAUGUUAUUUAAAUGCUAUAUCAAUUAUAAAUUCUUUUUCUUAAAAAAAUUCUUGGAUGAAGAAAGUAUAAAAGUAUAUAUACCUGAUGAACUUCGUUCCAAAGUUGUUCCAUGUUUUCAUAUGGUAAUUCCAAUGCAACAAGGUUCUUUGGAUUAAAACUUGAUGAUAAAGAUUUGAAGGGGUAAUAACCCCAUCGGAGAUACCUUAGCUCAUCCGGAAGAGAUAUAAUAUCAUCUUGGUCUGUAUGUAGCUUCUUAUAAUCCUCAUGCUCUUUCCUCAACCAACUCGAAGGAAAAUAGAAGAAAAUACAUCUAAGAUUAAUCAUGCUUUCAAAAACAGAAGGUUGGAAUAAUAGGUUACCCAUACGUGACAUGUCUACCUUUAUUUCUUGAAUUCGAUCAGUUCCCUGAUAACAAAAACCAAUUUAUCAAAUAUUAGCAUGGAGAAAUUUAUGGACAUUCCAUUAAAUAACUCAUAAAAAAAAUAAUUAUAUUAGGAUAGACGUAGACUAAUUGAGCACUUUUAGAAACUUUUACAUACAAAAAGUGUUUUCUUUUCUUUUAUUUUUAUUUUUUCAAAUCAAUACAUUAAGUAUUUAAUUAAGUCAUAAACAUUGAGCCAUUAUGCGUCUAGUAUGAUGAUAAUUAUUUUAUUUUCUAAAUACUAAUUAAAAGGAUAACUCCCUACCCCAAGCCCUAACAUAGGCCAGGGCAAAGUCAAGACAUUUUUGAGGGGGUCGAAAUUAAAUUGUAUUUUUUAUGAUAGUAAAAAUGUAAUUUUAUCAUUUUAAUAGUUUAUAUAUUUAUAAUUUUUAAAGGAUUAAAUUAAAUUUUUAUCAUUUUUAGGAGAGCCAAACUGUAAUUUUGUCAUUAUAAAUUUAAAAUUUUAAGGGCCAUAAAUGGAAAUUUUCCAUUUUAGAGGUUGGUGCCAUAUAAAAAGAAAAUAAAAUAUAAAUAAAAAACAAAAAAACCAUGCAAGGCUUAGUCCUCAUUCAUUCUGUAGGUUAAUCUCUCCUUGCAGGACCUCAGGUCGAAUGAUUUAUUUAACCAUCAAAAUUUAUAAAAAAAUUUAUUUUAGCUUUUUUAAUUUAUUUAAUUUUUUGCUUUUUUAGCUUUUUUUACUUAUGUUUUCUAUCAAAUCGCCCUAAAAUUUAAUAGAAAGGUUAAUUUUUUUUUAAUUUUGCUGAUAUAGCAUACAUGUAGAUUAUCAUAUGAAUGGCAUAUCACCAUUUAAUUAAUUUUUUAAAAUUUAAAAAAAUAAAAAAUAUUUAAAAAUUAAUUAAAUACUGACAUAUUAUUCGCAUGGCAAUCUAUACUGCAUCAGUAAAAUGAAUAAAUAUUAAUUUUCUUAUUUAUUUUAAAGUGUUUUGACAAAAAAUUUAAAAGAAAACACAAACUUAAGAAAACUUGCAAUUAUUGUAGGCUCCAUUUUAUCAACACCCACCUUGUUGGAUUCAUAUGCAUCACUCAUUUAUGACCAAAUGAAAAGGUUAUAGAGAAAUUGCUUAGAAACCACCUUUAUUCUUCCCUGGAAAUUUGAUCUGUUUCUAGUUUCUUUCAGACGUAUUGAGCGAUCAAUUUUCUGAUUUUCAACACUACAUCCACAUAUUUUUUUCUCUCGCUCAUCUUCAUGUCGUCAUUACCUUCAACUUCUUCGUCCAAUUCUAGAAAGAAAUAUGAUGUUUUCUUGAGUUUUAGAGGUGAAGAUACCCGCACCAACUUUACCGAUCAUCUCUAUGAUGCUUUAAGUAGGAGUGGGAUCGUCACUUUCAGGGAUGAUCCAAAGCUGGAGGCCGGCGAAGAGAUCGCGCCUGAACUCUUUACAGCAAUUCAGCAAUCAUGGUGUUCGGUAAUCGUUUUUUCGCAAACUUAUGCCUUUUCAAGUUGGUGCUUGGAGGAGCUUGCUGAGAUUGUUAAACAACAUAACAACGACGGCCAUAUAGUGUUUCCAAUUUUUUACGAUGUUGAUCCAUCUGAUUUAAGAAAACAAAAAGAGAAAGUGGAAGAAGCCUUUGCUAGACAUGAAGAGAGAUACAAAGAAGAUAGGGAGAAGAUCCAAAGGUGGCGAAAUGCUUUAAUUCAAGUGGCUGGAAUCAAGGGAUGGCAUUUAAAUAACAGGUAACUCUUUCUUUUCUUCUCUAUUUUCUAUUUUUUGGGAUAUAUAUGUAUAAACUUUUUUCUUUCUUUCUAAUCCUAUGUGUUUAAUUGAAAAGUGUCUUGGUUCUUGUUUGCUUCCAAACUAUAUUAUGUUUCAUGAUUCAUUGAAAAAGAAAGUGCAUUUGGUAAUAUGAAAAAAUAAAUUAUUCAAAAAAUUAAAAUUUCUUUUAUUGUAGGCAUGAAUCGGAAUUUAUUAGAGAGGUUAUUAAGAAGAUAUCAGCAAAACUAUGUCACCCAGUUACUCAUAGUCACUUGGUUGGAAUGACUGAACGCUUGGAGGAUUUAUAUUUGAAAAUAAACAUUGGGGAAAAUGAUGUCCGCAUUAUAGGGAUUUGCGGAAUGGGUGGUAUCGGUAAAACAACACUCGCAAGACUUGCUUAUAAUCAAAUGUCACAUCAUUUUGAAAGUAAAAGCUUUAUUGCUGAUAUUCGAGAAGUUUCAGACAGAUGUGGAUUAGUUUCUUUACAGAAACAACUCCUUUCGGAGAUUUUUCAUGAUGAAUGCUUCAAAUUUUUCAAUGUUCAUGAAGGGAAUGAUAUAAUUAGUCAUAUGUUGUCUCGCAAAAAGGUUCUUAUUGUUCUUGAUGAUGUUGAUAACAUACAACACUUAAAAUGCUUGGUUGGAAGGCAUGAUUGGUUCGGAUUAGGGAGUAGAAUCAUUGUAACAACAAGAGAAGAACAUUUGCUUCGGUCUUGGCCAGUUGAUGAUAUGUAUGAGCCCACAACAUUGAAUCCCAAAGAAGCGCUUCAACUUUUCAGUCUGAAAGCUUUUCAUAGUGAUACAGUGCCGAAAGAUGAUUUCAUUGAGCUUUCUUACCAUGUUGUAAAAUAUGCUGGUGGGCUCCCGUUAGCUCUUGAAAUUUUGGGUUGCUUUUUAUGCGGUAGAGAUGCUACUCAAUGGAGAAGUGCAAUUGAAAGACUUAAAAGAGAUUCUAAUAAAAAAAUUCUCGAUAAACUUCGAAUCAGUUUUGAUGGACUGGAAGAAAGGGAGAAGAAUAUAUUUCUAGAUAUAGCAUGCUUCUUCAAUGGGGAGGAGAAAGAUUUUGUAAUGAAAGUAUUGGAUGGUUGUGAGUUUUUCCCAGAUAUUGGUAUUGAUGUUCUCAUUAAAAAAUCUCUCAUAAAAGUCGAUGAACACAAAUAUUUGUGGAUGCAUAACUUGUUGCAAGAAAUGGGAAGAAAAUUUGUUAGAGAAAAAUGUGUUGAUGAAC
Molecule: long non-coding RNA, 29347 nt
Filed under: Gossypium raimondii (Peruvian cotton)
Lineage: Eukaryota; Viridiplantae; Streptophyta; Magnoliopsida; Malvales; Malvaceae
Description: long non-coding RNA (GRAI_LNC005966)
Source: RNAcentral